Gadus macrocephalus (Pacific cod) is the source of this 679-nucleotide long non-coding RNA. RefSeq lists it as uncharacterized. The transcript has 2 exons. Lineage: Eukaryota; Metazoa; Chordata; Actinopteri; Gadiformes; Gadidae. The record is from RefSeq and is a predicted model, not a curated record.
CGUUGACCCGGCGCCGCCCGAAACGCUAACGGGCCACAGGGAAUUCUCCCAACUCUCCCGAUUACUACUCUGCGUGUGCGUGCGUGCGUGCCUGUGUGUGUGUGUGCAGGCGUUAUUCAAUUGCCUGGUAAACAUAUAGGCCUACGGUAAUAUUCAUACUGGUUUAAAUAAUGCAUUUGCUAUUUCCCAUCGUUGCUGAGCAAGAGUUUUGUUCGAUAGUUCAGUGAUAGAAAACAAAUAAUAGCCCGGGCUAUUGACAUCAAGAAGGCCAAACUACAUGAGUUGGCCAUCAGAGGGGCAUGUGACUGCAAUUGAGGAUAGUCCAUAAGACCUGGAGCCAUGAGAAGUUCAGUUUGAAGUUUCAGUUUAAAACACUUCAUUUAGAUUUUCUUUUUAUUCCACUUAUCUUCAGAUGUUUUAGGUUUAAAUUGCAGCUCAGUGAAGCUGCAAUAAUUAUUAAAAUAAAGAACUUUAUGUUGACCAGAUUCUUAGUUCAUCAUUUACAAGUCAAUAUUGCCUAUAUGGACAGCUAUUUAAAAAACGUGAACCUGUAAAACUGCAGUGUUGAAUGCGAUAUGGUCGACAAUUUGGGUGCACCUAACUUUUGUGCUGGUGCACCUAAGAAAAAAAGUUAGGCGCACCAGUGCAACCAGUGAAAAAUGUUAGUUUAGAGCCCUGA